UAAAUACCCAUCAUCGCACCUACUAACCUACAUACUCCAUUGUAAUUGAAUAGCUCUUUAAAAAUGAAUAAUUUCAAUGACAGCAUUUGAACUUCCUAACGAUUACAUUGUUUAAUGCAUCAAUAUCGUUAAUCAAUAAUCAUUGAUAUUUGCCAAUUGAUUAGGAAAGAACAAAUUAUUUUAUGCAAUCAUGAUCUUUAUUCCUUAAAAAAAAAAAAAAAAAAAAAUUGGGAAAUACACAUUGUAGCUAUACUUGCUAGAACGCGAAUUAUACUUUGAGUUACACUUUGUCUCACCCAAAAUAAAG
This is a non-coding RNA of Schizosaccharomyces pombe (fission yeast), 307 nucleotides long. Lineage: Eukaryota; Fungi; Ascomycota; Schizosaccharomycetes; Schizosaccharomycetales; Schizosaccharomycetaceae. The record is from the annotation of a GenBank genome assembly.